GUUCGUUGUUUAACCCAUAUUUCUCUGUUAAGAGACCUUUAAAAGAAACUGUAAACAUGUUGUCUUCGCCAUAGCAUAGAUUUGCGAAAUCUGUCUUCUUUUCUUAUGUUGAUUUUUUUUCUUUGCAGGAACCGCAGUAUUUCCGGCGUCGUGUUGUAACUUCGUUGCUACAGUUAUUUUUUUCAAAAUUAAAGAAAACUGCAAUAACACCAGUAUCAAAAUUUUAAAUUGUGAUUCAAGAGAAACAAUAACUUUAUCCAAUUUUUUUUCCAAGUGUGUGUAUCAGUGUAUCAGCACAUGAAUUUUAUAAAUCAGUUCUAUUUAUACACAGUGUUUACAGUUUUACGGGCAAAAAGGUCAGAUCGAUUGCGUUUUUAAUUGUAGUGUGAACGCAGUGGUUCAUAUUAGACCGAUAGAGAUCGAUAUGAUUAAAGAUAAUGUGAACGCUAACUGGUUUUAUUUAGAUCGAUUAAAAUUAGAUCGAUAAAAAAAAAUGCUAGUGUGAACAGGGUCUAAGAUAGC
Molecule: long non-coding RNA, 522 nt
Filed under: Mytilus galloprovincialis (Mediterranean mussel)
Lineage: Eukaryota; Metazoa; Mollusca; Bivalvia; Mytilida; Mytilidae
Source: RNAcentral